GUUGAACGCUGGCGGCAGGCCUAACACAUGCAAGUCGAGCGGAUGAAGGGAGCUUGCUCCUGGAUUCAGCGGCGGACGGGUGAGUAAUGCCUAGGAAUCUGCCCGGUAGUGGGGGAUAACGUCCGGAAACGGGCGCUAAUACCGCAUACGUCCUGAGGGAGAAAGUGGGGGAUCUUCGGACCUCACGCUAUCAGAUGAGCCUAGGUCGGAUUAGCUAGUUGGUGGGGUAAAGGCCUACCAAGGCGACGAUCCGUAACUGGUCUGAGAGGAUGAUCAGUCACACUGGAACUGAGACACGGUCCAGACUCCUACGGGAGGCAGCAGUGGGGAAUAUUGGACAAUGGGCGAAAGCCUGAUCCAGCCAUGCCGCGUGUGUGAAGAAGGUCUUCGGAUUGUAAAGCACUUUAAGUUGGGAGGAAGGGCAGUAAGUUAAUACCUUGCUGUUUUGACGUUACCAACAGAAUAAGCACCGGCUAACUUCGUG
Molecule: ribosomal RNA, 484 nt
Filed under: uncultured bacterium
Lineage: Bacteria
Description: partial 16S ribosomal RNA
Rfam family: Bacterial small subunit ribosomal RNA
Source: RNAcentral